GACGAACGCUGGCGGCGUGCCUAAUACAUGCAAGUUGAGCGCUGAAGGUUGGUACUUGUACCAACUGGAUGAGCAGCGAACGGGUGAGUAACGCGUGGGGAAUCUGCCUUUGAGCGGGGGACAACAUUGGGAAACGAAUGCUAAUACCGCAUAAAAACUUUAAACACAAGUUUUAAGUUUGAAAGAUGCAAUUGCAUCACUCAAAGAUGAUCCCGCGUUGUAUUAGCUAGUUGGUGAGGUAAAGGCUCACCAAGGCGAUGAUACAUAGCCGACCUGAGAGGGUGGUCGGCCACCUUGGGACUGGGACACGGCCCAACCUCCUUCGGGAGGCAGCCGUAGGGAAUCUUCGGCCAUUGACGGAAGUCUUACCGGGCAACGCCGCGUGAGUGAAGAAGGUUUUCGGAUCGUAAAACUCUGUUGGUAGAGAAGAACGUUGGUGAGAGUGGAAAGCUCAUCAAGUGACAGUAACUACCCAGAAAGGGACGGCUAACUACGUG
RNAcentral lists this ribosomal RNA (497 nucleotides) under uncultured bacterium. Its description in RNAcentral is "partial 16S ribosomal RNA". It matches the Rfam family "Bacterial small subunit ribosomal RNA", at positions 28 to 507 of the family's 1533-position model. The record is from RNAcentral.